AGCGUACACGGUGGAUGCCCUGGCAGUCAGAGGCGAUGAAGGACGUGCUAAUCUGCGAUAAGCGCCGGUAAGGUGAUAUGAACCGUUAUAACCGGCGAUUUCCGAAUGGGGAAACCCAGUGUGAUUCGUCACACUAUCAUUAACUGAAUCCAUAGGUUAAUGAGGCGAACCGGGGGAACUGAAACAUCUAAGUACCCCGAGGAAAAGAAAUCAACCGAGAUUCCCCCAGUAGCGGCGAGCGAACGGGGAGGAGCCCAGAGCCUGAAUCAGCAUGUGUGUUAGUGGAAGCGUCUGGAAAGGCGCGCGAUACAGGGUGACAGCCCCGUACACAAAAGCGCAUGUGCUGUGAGCUCGAUGAGUAGGGCGGGACACGUGGUAUCCUGUCUGAAUAUGGGGGGACCAUCCUCCAAGGCUAAAUACUCCUGACUGACCGAUAGUGAACCAGUACCGUGAGGGAAAGGCGAAAAGAACCCCGGCGAGGGGAGUGAAAAAGAACCUGAAACCGUGUACGUACAAGCAGUGGGAGCACAGGUUUACCUGUGUGACUGCGUACCUUUUGUAUAAUGGGUCAGCGACUUAUAUUCUGUAGCAAGGUUAACCGAAUAGGGGAGCCGGAGGGAAACCGAGUCUUAAUUGGGCGUUAAGUUGCAGGGUAUAGACCCGAAACCCGGUGAUCUAGCCAUGGGCAGGUUGAAGGUUGGGUAACACUAACUGGAGGACCGAACCGACUAAUGUUGAAAAAUUAGCGGAUGACCUGUGGCUGGGGGUGAAAGGCCAAUCAAACCGGGAGAUAGCUGGUUCUCCCCGAAAGCUAUUUAGGUAGCGCCUCGUGAAUUCAUCUCCGGGGGUAGAGCACUGUUUCGGCUAGGGGGCCAUCCCGGCUUACCAACCCGAUGCAAACUGCGAAUACCGGAGAAUGUUAUCACGGGAGACACACGGCGGGUGCUAACGUCCGUCGUGAAGAGGGAAACAACCCAGACCGCCAGCUAAGGUCCCAAAGUCAUGGUUAAGUGGGAAACGAUGUGGGAAGGCCCAGACAGCCAGGAUGUUGGCUUAGAAGCAGCCAUCAUUUAAAGAAAGCGUAAUAGCUCACUGGUCGAGUCGGCCUGCGCGGAAGAUGUAACGGGGCUAAACCAUGCACCGAAGCUGCGGCAGCGAACGUAUCACUUAAAGCGAUUCAGCGGGUUACGAUUGACGGAGCGAAGCGACGUCAAAGCGUAUACAAAGUCGAGUCGGUUUAAGGAUACGUUCGUUGGGUAGGGGAGCGUUCUGUAAGCCUGUGAAGGUGUGUCGUGAGGCAUGCUGGAGGUAUCAGAAGUGCGAAUGCUGACAUAAGUAACGAUAAAGCGGGUGAAAAGCCCGCUCGCCGGAAGACCAAGGGUUCCUGUCCAACGUUAAUCGGGGCAGGGUGAGUCGACCCCUAAGGCGAGGCCGAAAGGCGUAGUCGAUGGGAAACGGGUUAAUAUUCCCGUACUUGGUGUUACUGCGAAGGGGGGACGGAGAAGGCUAUGUUGGCCGGGCGACGGUUGUCCCGGUUUAAGCGUGUAGGUGUGUGUUCCAGGUAAAUCCGGUUCACUUUAACACUGAGGCGUGAUGACGAGGCACUACGGUGCUGAAGCAACAAAUGCCCUGCUUCCAGGAAAAGCCUCUAAGCAUCAGGUAACAUCAAAUCGUACCCCAAACCGACACAGGUGGUCAGGUAGAGAAUACCAAGGCGCUUGAGAGAACUCGGGUGAAGGAACUAGGCAAAAUGGUGCCGUAACUUCGGGAGAAGGCACGCUGACAUGUAGGUGAAGUGAUUUACUCAUGGAGCUGAAGUCAGUCGAAGAUACCAGCUGGCUGCAACUGUUUAUUAAAAACACAGCACUGUGCAAACACGAAAGUGGACGUAUACGGUGUGACGCCUGCCCGGUGCCGGAAGGUUAAUUGAUGGGGUCAGCGCAAGCGAAGCUCCUGAUCGAAGCCCCGGUAAACGGCGGCCGUAACUAUAACGGUCCUAAGGUAGCGAAAUUCCUUGUCGGGUAAGUUCCGACCUGCACGAAUGGCGUAAUGAUGGCCAGGCUGUCUCCACCCGAGACUCAGUGAAAUUGAACUCGCUGUGAAGAUGCAGUGUACCCGCGGCAAGACGGAAAGACCCCGUGAACCUUUACUAUAGCUUGACACUGAACAUUGAGCCUUGAUGUGUAGGAUAGGUGGGAGGCUUUGAAGCGUGGACGCCAGUCUGCGUGGAGCCGACCUUGAAAUACCACCCUUUAAUGUUUGAUGUUCUAACGUGGACCCGUAAUCCGGGUUGCGGACAGUGUCUGGUGGGUAGUUUGACUGGGGCGGUCUCCUCCUAAAGAGUAACGGAGGAGCACGAAGGUUGGCUAAUCCUGGUCGGACAUCAGGAGGUUAGUGCAAUGGCAUAAGCCAGCUUGACUGCGAGCGUGACGGCGCGAGCAGGUGCGAAAGCAGGUCAUAGUGAUCCGGUGGUUCUGAAUGGAAGGGCCAUCGCUCAACGGAUAAAAGGUACUCCGGGGAUAACAGGCUGAUACCGCCCAAGAGUUCAUAUCGACGGCGGUGUUUGGCACCUCGAUGUCGGCUCAUCACAUCCUGGGGCUGAAGUAGGUCCCAAGGGUAUGGCUGUUCGCCAUUUAAAGUGGUACGCGAGCUGGGUUUAGAACGUCGUGAGACAGUUCGGUCCCUAUCUGCCGUGGGCGCUGGAGAACUGAGGGGGGCUGCUCCUAGUACGAGAGGACCGGAGUGGACGCAUCACUGGUGUUCGGGUUGUCAUGCCAAUGGCACUGCCCGGUAGCUAAAUGCGGAAGAGAUAAGUGCUGAAAGCAUCUAAGCACGAAACUUGCCCCGAGAUGAGUUCU
Molecule: ribosomal RNA, 2858 nt
Filed under: Salmonella enterica
Lineage: Bacteria; Pseudomonadati; Pseudomonadota; Gammaproteobacteria; Enterobacterales; Enterobacteriaceae
Description: bacterial LSU rRNA
Rfam family: Bacterial large subunit ribosomal RNA
Source: RNAcentral